UGAUGAUGAAGCCUCAAUCAAUGGCACAAACCCACUAUGGGGGAUAGGCCACAAAUCGGGUGGUAAUAUGAUUGAAUAAAUAAAAGAAUUUGGUUAAUAAAUAACUAACACAAAAAGUAAAGUAAAUAUAUAAUCCAAGAUGAAAAAUAAACUGUGAAUACAUGAGUAAAACUAGUGAUCAAUACUAUAGUAAACCUUGCCUUGAUAGGAAUACAAAAAAAAGGAAGGAAAGAAUAAUAAAAAAACAUAUACUUAAACUUGAGUAAGCUAAAUUUUUGAAUAAUAAUACUAGAAGGAUUUAAACUGUGCAUUCUGCACAGGUGCCGCUAUUUCCCAAGGAUCUACAUCUUCAUCUACCUAGAUUUGUUCUGGCGCCCUCCCGCUUCUGCUCAUAUUGUGGUGAUAAGACGACGCACCACUUCUGCCUAUCACGCCGCCGUUUUUCAUCAUUAAAAUAUUUUAGAAGGACCAUUUCGCUGUCUUGGAUUGAGUCUUGCCAUUCCCCGAUAUUCUGCCUUUGGGAGCCUCCUCUCUCAGACGUUGUCACAGGGAUGUCGGUGCAGCUGUUGUAAAGCUUAUAGCUGAAUCAGGAUGAUUUCCUUUCUAAACGCUUAAAUCUUUAUUUUAUUGUACUUCUCAUUCUUUUCUAAAUUCGGCUAAAUAUAUUACCUAAUUCAUCGAAUUCUUGGCGAAUCCCCCAUAUAGUGGGUACUUGCCAUCUAAAAGAGGGAAAACGAACGAAACCAAAUUGGUGAUUCUCCUCUUGUGCACUCUGUCAGCCGACAAUCGCAGACCCUCACUCUCCCUAAUUAUGCAAUCCUUCAUCGCCUGUAGCGUAGACUAGGCGACCCCGUCUGUCAGGUCUGUGGGCAUCUUCCUAAGGUGGUACACGUGUACUGGGAAUGUCCGCGCGCCCAUCCUUCACCCUACAUCAUCAAACGCGACAACAUCCCCCCGUCCUUACACCUGUGCAAAUUGGGCCGUCCCACCCAAGACUUGCGCCAGACUCUGGCUCCUCCUGGUGCGCCGCGUUCGCCACAACAUCCAUGGGGCGAUUGCGCCCAUCGCCAUUCAGCUAGAGUUACCUGCGGGACCGAUAUACAGUAACUCUACAUGGAUGGAUAGAUGGAUGCUAUGAGCGUCCCUUUUGGAACGGGGUAGUGGGUUGCGCUACCAAACUCUAGUUACUAUAUUGCCCAAUGUCCUACCUAUGUUAAAAAGAAAAAAAAAGAAAAGGAAAAAGGAACCACGAUGAAUUCCCAUAACCAAACUUUCUGAACCCCUAUUAUGAGUUUUGUUUUCGUACGCCUGCGUUGUUUGUCGUUUCCUAUACUUCCACCAAUCUUCCAAUCGCCUUUACUGAUCUCUAUUGCGGACAUGUUUACGUUCCUCCUCCUCUCGCUGACCCUAAGGCCCUCAAGGAGACCAAAGGUGCCCAAAUCGACCGCUGGGCAGAUAUCUUCACAUUAUCAUAAAACAUGCUCCAUCGUUUGUGUAGCUUUGCCGCAACAAAAAUAUGCUUGCUUGCACAAGCCGUGACGACUCCCACUAGAGCCUUCAUGCUAUAAAGUAUUCUUUCUUAAACUACUUCCUACCGCCCGAUUUAGGCAUAUCCCCCCGUAGUGGGUGCGCUCUAUAAACGAGAACUACAUCAUCAUCAUCAUCAAACGGCCAUCAUGCCUUGACCAAGGCUGGGCCGAGCAAAAUUCCCUGGACAGUCGAAAAGCCGACCGUGGACAACGGACACGUCUCCGCGAUUCGACAAAAUUAGGUCCCGCCGAAAUUCGCGUGGCACGGCAGGGCCCGCUCCUUUCCAAAUGAAAACAUCAUGAAGUGGUUCAACGGCAACAUGCUUCAGGCCAUCGCCGAGGCCCACAACCGACGCGCCCUGCUCCUGGUGUUCGUCGAGGGCGACGACAUGGCAUCGCGUAACAUGCGCUCCACCUUCGAGGACGCCGAGGUGAACAAGCUCAUCGACGUCAUGGGCUGCGUUCCGAUACGGCUCCGGGUAAACAGCAGCGCCUGCCGCCAGUUCGCCCUCGUCUACCCGGUGACCGCCAUUCCGUCCACGUUCUUCAUCAGCUCGCGCGGCAACCUCGAGGCCUCCAUAGUGGGCUUCACCGACCCGGUGUCCCUCAGCGACCGACUCGCGAAGCUCAUGGCCUCGUGCACCCUCAGGAAGGUUGAUUCGGACAUGCGCAACGCGAGCGAAACGAGCAUGUCCGUCGACCGCAUGGCGCGCGCGAACCGCCAGUCGUCGUCGGCGCGCCUUCAAGUCGCAGCCCCGGCGGCUGAAGGCGUCGCCAAAAAACGCAGCAGGGGCGGAGAGCGACGCUCCAAGAAGAAACACAAGCGACAAGAGGCCAACGUGCAGACCAGUAUCGUGGUGCUCGCCGAACAGUCAACGCAGAUCAACAUGGACGACAAGCGGUCGUACAACAGCCUGCUCCAGAAGCUGGCAGCGAUGGAAGAGGCCACGUUAGUUCCGCCCGCCACAGUCGCCACGGCCAAGGUACACGGCGACCUGGCUGGAGACUUGGCGUCGCUGAUGGGAGACAGCUAUGAAAAGAAAGACCCGGGAAUAACACCGGAAGAACUCAGUGGGAAUCCGCUCGCCGGAAUCGCGGGGGCAGCGACGGGUGACGAGUCCGUCGACGUUGAGAAGAAAGAUAAGCCUGCCGCUUCGAACGCCAAAAACAGUUCGAACCAGCAGGCACGCCGGGGAUCGCACAAGAAAUCUCCCAAGGGGAAGAACGAGAUUAAUGCAACCAUGCCACCACAGCCGCCGCCUCCUCCACCACCGCCGCCAGGAGCAGAAGCCGUUCGCACGACUGAGGUAGAGAACCCGACCAGCGUCGCCGUUAGUGAUGCUCCGCUCGUAGGAUUGGACGACAUCGAUUCGCUGUUGUGCGACGACGCGGACGGUCCCGCAUUGCUAAUUAAGUUCGCCGUGCUCGCGCAGGAGUUUGCCGACAAGGUCUUGGGUAGCUCGCAGUACGAGCAGUCGGACUACAAGUCUUUGGAAACGUCGGCCGCGGAGACAACCAAGGUAUCUGUGGACGUAAGGAGACUCGCAGAGCCUGCUCGGAAGCAGAAGUCCAAGAAGGAACGGCAAGCCACCAAAUCAAAGGCGUCACCUCUGGCCAAGAACGUCGAAAUUUACGCGAAGGGGGAAAGGCAGAGGCAACAUGCGGACGCGUACAAGAGGCCGUGCCAGUUGGAGAACCUGCAGGGAAACCUGGGCGACGCUGCCGAAGCGAUAGCGGCUUUGGAAGAGGCCGCCUUAGAACAGGCUGGAUACAAGGACACUUGGCCGAAAAAGCGAAGGGCUUCUUCAGGCGCACGUUCUCAGAAGCAGCCGUGUAAUUCAGACGCACAACAGUCCAGCAGCCCAGAUCAGCAGGCCAAGCAAGGUUCUGAGAAACGCAAAAAGCAUCGCGAAUUGCCAACGAAAGACAACGCGGGAGACUCGAACAAAGUCGCGGCGACGUUGAAGAAGGUGGCUGCAAAGGCAGCGGCAGUGCCUUGCUCCACGACUAGAACGCAGGACACCGGCCUCAGCGAACUCGCCCAGAAGAUCAAGCACUUCGAAUCAGCCGCUUCCAAGGCCUCUCAGGACGCGAAGGCCACCCUGGCUGAGAAGAAAGGAAAGAGGUCUAAGAGCGCUUCGCCGCCCAAGCCGCCAGCAAACGACACCUCGACGAAAUCUCCCGAGCACGGGUCGCCGCGAACGUACGUUCAAAUGCCGUCCCCGCCGCCAAUAUCGACGGUGCCACUCGAACAAAACGUCUCUGUCGUUCGCAUGCGACCGGGAAUCCACACCAUCACCGAGGAAGAAACCGGCGCCAUCGACUCUUGCCUCACUUCUCCGCAGCCCACCCCACCGCCACCGCAAUCGCCUCUUCCUGCAGAUGCUCGGACUCGACCGGAAAUCCAGAAAACUGCGCAAGAGGCGCUCCACAAAUCCUCUGGGAAGAAGCCCGCGAGCGAAGCGGCGGCUCCGCCGCUUUCGCUGCCUCAGGCAACGCCACCGCAGCAGCACCAGCAGACAACGCGCGCCACAGUGGCUCAGAAUCGCAAUUCUCCUCAGUCGUGGAAGAGCGGGCGGAGGCCCUCGAGUCCCACAAAAAGCAAGGAGUUCCUUACGGCCAGCAACUCCCAGCUGGAAGACGCGGUCGUCUUCGGUCCCACGCACCGCAGAAACGAUGACAGCGCUGCCGCGACGACGAAAAGGGCGCCGCCGUCGCAUUUGCGACCGACAGAACAGAGGGCGGCGGCGGCCAGGAGCCCGCACUACGAGCGCCUCGUGAAUAGCGACGGUGACGACGAGACCGUGGACGACGAACUGACUGCUCGCAGGACUCCCUCGGCCGCCGCGUUCAGAAGCGAGGCUGACUGGAUGGAUGAGAUGGCUCGCACGGCGUCCAGGCGCACCCUUCUUUACCGGGCGGGGGUUCUCGAGGAGUCGCUGAACAACCUGUGUCGCACGCUGAAUGACGUGGAAGGUCCCACGAUGUCUCUGAGCGUCGGCGCCCACUCGCGCACCAACAUUGCCAAGGUACAAGCAGCAGCAGGUCGGGAACGCGGAUCACCGGUACCGACAACGCCGGCAGCGCCCCCUGCCUCGUCGCCGAGCAGGCAGCACGUCCACGUCACCAUAAACGACCAGAAGGAAGACGGCGUCGACGAGGAAAAGGCGAGCGCCGUCGAGGUCGCUGUGAGUACCAAAGCGACGCAUCGUGUCUCGCUGUCGGGUACAAACGUCCGCAACCGGGCCCGAAGCCGUCUGUCGCCGAGCCGCCCGGGUGGCAGCAGCGGCAGUCGAUCCCCGAGCGCCGAAUUGUCGCAGGCCUCCGGAGGCGGCAACGCUCGCAAGUCGGCGAGCUUCACGCCAACGGUAGUUAGCGGCCGCGCCGGCGGCGGCGCUGACGAUGCGAACAUCGUUCUCAACCUGCCGAACGGCAGCUCGGUGCAGAAGUCGUUUCCGGCGUCCGCGUACCUGGACGAAGUGCGCUGGUACACCGAGGAGCUGCUGGCCUCGGCGCUUCCCUCCUGCUUCCCGUUCACCAUGGCUCGGACCAACCCGCUGCGCGAGUUCUCGCGCGAGGACUACCGCAAGACGCUCGGGCAGCUGCACCUGGCGCCGUCGGCGACGCUCCUUGUGUUACCCAGCAUCUGAGCAAGGCACAUACCCGUAUGCUCUCCCCCUGGGGUGCACAUGGACACGCCGAUCAUCGGGACCUUCUUUCAUCGGCGCCCCCAUCCAAGCGAAGGCAGCUAGACCUCUCUCAAGCACCGAGAUUGCCGAAUCGGGGAACCUUGGAUCGCCGACACUACGCCGCCUGAGGCUGCCUUCGAUGGUCUACAGUGGUCUUUGUCCAAGUGCUCCUGGCCUACGCUUUCUACUACCUACAAUGAACGAAACUCUUCUUUUUCAUUUUUUUUUUUUUUUGAGGAGGCCAUCGACACGAUAACUGCGUGCUAGUGUGGAUUUCAUAUUUCUCUAGGGGGAAAAGAUUGCAAGCGACUUUACAUUUAAAGAAUAAAUACACGACUGUUUUACGCUUUCAGUGCACUGUUUUCUUUAUAAGGACACCACUCAAAAUACAGUCGUUUCCUUAAUUUGCGGCAACAUAUCGCUGUGACAAUACAUGUCACGCUCGGGGCGGCGCUAACUAAACAUUAGUUUUACCUCGUCGAAUUGACCAUUGGUUUCAAUUAUCUGGUGGGUCACUUCAUAUAAAAAACGACUUUAGAUAGACAGGAAUGAAGAGCACCUAAUCUGCCAUCUUGCAGGUGCAUGUUCGACAACGUCUGCGUUGCGCCGUCAAUUUUCUGUAUUACCGAUGAGUAUUAGACGCAGAAGCCAUAGUGUUAAUUUUUUUUUUUUUUUUGCUGACGACCACUGCAAGAGGAGUAUGAAAUAAAGCCGGGUUGAUAGAUAAAUUAGAUUUCUGAUGUGCUAAAAUAACAGGUCGCGCUCGGCAAUCACCGCCAUUCCAGAAGUUGCGCAAUUCGUAGAAAACUCCAGUUGAUGUACCGCUUGUAGGAAAUGUACACGCGCAUGCCCAAAAUAUACACAAAACAAAUAAAAAAGAAAUCAACCCGACGGGAUAAAAGCAAAGACAGCGGCCACGCUGAUUGUCAACGUUGCCCGUUCGAAGAUAUGACAACACGCAGCAGAGUUGUUUUCGAGUGCGUAAUCCCGAUUAUGGUUUCUCCACUAGAAAAACACGUGUUUUACGUGGUAUCGCACUUGAGAGAGAGACUCCUUAUUAGAAAAACAGAUCUUUGCCGGCGCGCAUACAACAGGGGGCAUGACACUCUGUAUAGUGAUGGAGAAUGGGAUCAAAAGAUUCCUGAGGAGAGUGGGACAAAAAGAGAACAAAAAAAAUAUUAAAUGCGCAAGUAGACCUCAUACUAAUAUUUACAGGUGACAUGGUGGGUAAAUUGAGGAUUUUUUAUAUGAAAUGUUUAAACGUUAAAGCUUUCUUAUUAGACCAAUUUCUGACAGGUAUUUGAACAACAAAUCCAAAACCCGCCUCUGUUUUGA
RNA transcript from Dermacentor andersoni, 6553 nucleotides. RefSeq lists it as uncharacterized. NCBI's taxonomy places the organism in Eukaryota, Metazoa, Arthropoda, Arachnida, Ixodida, Ixodidae. The record is from RefSeq and is a predicted model, not a curated record.